AUAGAGGCAUCGACGGAUUAGAGGCACGGCACGGUUUCAUUCAUGCACUUCGGCGAGCGGCGAUCAUUAUCACGCCAAAAGCCUUGUCAUGCAAAGUCGAAAACAGACCGCAAGCCAAUACAUUUCAGAGGAGCCCGAGUCCCGAACACGAAUAUUCAGGUCUCCGGCAGCCCCCACUAUCCAAGCUCCACUCGAAGUCAAUCGAGAGGAGUUGAGAAUUUACUGACGCUCAAACAGGCAUGCUCCUCGGAACACCGAGGAGCGCAAGGUGCGUUCAAAGAUUCGAUGAUUCACUGUAGAUCUGCAAUUCACAUUACAUAUCGCUAUUCGCUGCGUUCUUCAUCGAUGCGAGAGCCAAGAGAUCCAUUGCUGAAAGUUGUAAUAACUUUUGUCUCAAAGAAUCGCAUCUCCUAGAAGUCGCGACUCGAUGAUAGUAAAAACAUUCAAAGACUUUCUACACGAAGAGGGGCAUAUGAAGACGCAGAGGUUGACCCUCCGCGCCCAUACGACCAAAGUCCAGAAAGAAAGCGUGCACGUGCCUA
Molecule: unclassified non-coding RNA, 542 nt
Filed under: fungal sp. JH 214
Lineage: Eukaryota; Fungi
Description: sequence contains 18S rRNA gene, ITS1, 5.8S rRNA gene, ITS2 and 28S rRNA gene
Source: RNAcentral